AAGUCGUAACAAGGUUUCCGUAGGUGAACCUGCGGAAGGAUCAUUAACACGUAUCCAACGUUAAACAACCCUGUGAACUUUCAACCGCUCUUGUAGCCCACGCGGAACAGCAAUCCCGGUAAAUCAAUUGGAGAAAAGGUUUUGAUUCGGGACCUCUGUCAGGAGCAGUGGCAUGGUUUCCCUAAGCAGUGCAGAAGGAUCCACUGAGUAAGGAUAACGCCUCACGGUUGCCAGAGGUCGAUCACCGGCCGGCAGACAUGUCACAGGGCUAUAUGCCCCCUCAUUCACACCUUGCCCUAUCUGGCCCCACGGAAACGUUGGGGCACAAACCGAACAACUGUUAACAAUGGAUAUCUUGGUUCUC
RNAcentral lists this unclassified non-coding RNA (364 nucleotides) under fungal sp. RNAcentral's name for it is "partial internal transcribed spacer region". The stretch from base 1 to 46 matches the Rfam family "Eukaryotic small subunit ribosomal RNA", at positions 1786 to 1831 of the family's 1831-position model. The record is from RNAcentral. Lineage: Eukaryota; Fungi.